CAGUCUAGACUCUAUGAUGUGUCAAUGUUUAUGGUCUAUAAAGUGUUCUACUUCAAGCCAUUAUGAUAUGCCUGUGUGUGGACUUAAUCAAACUCACAUUCCUCACAAUAACAUUGACACUGGUGUAGAUAUAUUUCUCUUAUGAUUUUCCUGUGCCUGACUCUGCCUUGACUCUCAGGAAUUUUUGCAUUGACCUUACAUCCAACCCACAGUUCAGGUCAAGUUUUUAUAAUUUUGUCUUAACAUCUAAAAACCUUA
This is a non-coding RNA of Biomphalaria pfeifferi, 258 nucleotides long. The record is from the annotation of a GenBank genome assembly. Lineage: Eukaryota; Metazoa; Mollusca; Gastropoda; Planorbidae.